This is a long non-coding RNA of Coregonus clupeaformis (lake whitefish), 501 nucleotides long. RefSeq lists it as uncharacterized. The transcript is spliced from 3 exons. Lineage: Eukaryota; Metazoa; Chordata; Actinopteri; Salmoniformes; Salmonidae. The record is from RefSeq and is a predicted model, not a curated record.
UCAGGUGUAGUUAUUCACCAGCUAUAGAGUGAGUUGUUGUUUAUGUUUCUAAGACUGCAGGGUGGGAGAUGCAACAAUGGCCUUGAGAACAGCAGGAAGUGUGUUGGUGGUCUUUCUCUGGUCUGUAGCAGCUGUACUGGGGCAGAAUGGCUGGAGUGUGACUAACACCACAGUAUUUGUACCUUGAAGGGGUCAUCAGUGGAACUGUCCUGCUCUUACACAUAUCCCAGUUGGUAUAAAGUCACAACAACCUUCUGGUUCACCAAAAUUGUUGCUGUGGAGAAUUAUGUGAGUCUGAGUGAUGACCCAGACUACAAAGGUCGUGUGACGUACCAUAGAGAUAAGAAGAAUGGCCACACCCUGACAAUCACAGACCUGAGAGAGAGUGACUCCACUACGUACAAGUUCAGAUUUAUUACAGAUCAGACCGAAGGGAUCCUGGAGUCACUUUGUCUGUUACAGACCUGCAGGUGAAGGUGACCACUACAUGGUGGUCAACGA